UACGUAGGGACCAAGCGUUGUUCGGAUUUACUGGGCGUAAAGGGCGCGUAGGCGGCGCGGUAAGUCACUUGUGAAAUCUCUGAGCUUAACUCAGAACGGCCAAGUGAUACUGCAGCGCUAGGGUGUGGAAGGGGCAAUCGGAAUUCUUGGUGUAGCGGUGAAAUGCGUAGAUAUCAAGAGGAACACCUGAGGUGAAGACGGGUUGCUGGGCCAACACUGACGCUGAGGCGCGAAAGCCAGGGGAGCAAACGGG
RNAcentral lists this ribosomal RNA (253 nucleotides) under uncultured bacterium. Its description in RNAcentral is "partial 16S ribosomal RNA". It matches the Rfam family "Bacterial small subunit ribosomal RNA", at positions 524 to 776 of the family's 1533-position model. The record is from RNAcentral.